This 253-nucleotide ribosomal RNA is filed under the name uncultured bacterium. Its description in RNAcentral is "partial 16S ribosomal RNA". It matches the Rfam family "Bacterial small subunit ribosomal RNA", at positions 524 to 776 of the family's 1533-position model. The record is from RNAcentral.
UACGUAGGGUGCAAGCGUUAUUCGGAAUCACUGGGCGUAAAGGGCGCUCAGGCGGUUUUGUAAGUCUAAAGUGAAAUCCUUGGGCUUAACCCAAGGGCCGCUUUAGAUACUGCAAAACUCGAGUUCGGGAAAAGCAAGCGGAAUUCCUGGUGAAGGGGUGAAAUCCGUAGAUAUCAGGAAGAACACCAGUGGCGAAAGUGGCUUGCGAGAACGCAACUGACGCUUAGGCGCGAAAGCGUGGGGAGCAAACAGG